Molecule: ribosomal RNA, 429 nt
Filed under: Pseudomonadota bacterium
Lineage: Bacteria; Pseudomonadati; Pseudomonadota
Description: Proteobacteria bacterium partial 16S ribosomal RNA
Rfam family: Bacterial small subunit ribosomal RNA
Source: RNAcentral
UGGGGAAUAUUGGACAAUGGGCGAAAGCCUGAUCCAGCCAUGCCGCGUGUGUGAAGAAGGUCUUCGGAUUGUAAAGCACUUUAAGUUGGGAGGAAGGGCAGUAAGCGAAUACCUUGCUGUUUUGACGUUACCGACAGAAUAAGCACCGGCUAACUCUGUGCCAGCAGCCGCGGUAAUACAGAGGGGGCAAGCGUUAAUCGGAAUUACUGGGCGUAAAGCGCGCGUAGGUGGUUCGUUAAGUUGAAUGUGAAAGCCCCGGGCUCAACCUGGGAACUGCAUCCAAAACUGGCGAGCUAGAGUAGGGCAGAGGGUGGUGGAAUUUCCUGUGUAGCGGUGAAAUGCGUAGAUAUAGGAAGGAACACCAGUGGCGAAGGCGACCACCUGGGCUCAUACUGACACUGAGGUGCGAAAGCGUGGGGAGCAAACAGG